AACGCACAUUGCGCCCCCUGGUAUUCCGGGGGGCAUGCCUGUUCGAGCGUCAUUUCAACCAAUCCAGCCCGGCUGGGUGUUGGGCGUCGCGGUCCCCCGCGCGCCUCAAAGUCCUCGGCGGAAGCCGCCCGUACCUCUGCGUGAUGAUACAUCUUCGCUCGGGAGACGGGGGCGAGCGCCCGUACGCGUCGGCGGAGACGUCGAUUUUCAGGUUGACCUCGGAUCAGGUAGGGGUACCCGCUGAACUUAA
This 250-nucleotide unclassified non-coding RNA is filed under the name uncultured fungus. RNAcentral describes it as "partial contains 5.8S ribosomal RNA, internal transcribed spacer 2, and large subunit ribosomal RNA". The stretch from base 1 to 52 matches the Rfam family "5.8S ribosomal RNA", at positions 103 to 154 of the family's 154-position model. The record is from RNAcentral. Lineage: Eukaryota; Fungi.